This 253-nucleotide ribosomal RNA is filed under the name uncultured bacterium. RNAcentral's name for it is "partial 16S ribosomal RNA". It matches the Rfam family "Bacterial small subunit ribosomal RNA", at positions 524 to 776 of the family's 1533-position model. The record is from RNAcentral.
GACAGAGGGUGCAAACGUUGUUCGGAUUUACUGGGCGUAAAGCGUGUGUAGGCGGCUUGGCAAGUUGGAUGUGAAAGCCCACGGCUCAACCGUGGAAGCGCACCCAAAACUGCUUCGCUCGAGUCUCGGAGAGGAAGGUGGAAUGCUUGGUGUAGAGGUGAAAUUCGUAGAUAUCAAGCAGAACACCUGCGGCGAAGGCGGCCUUCUGGACGAUGACUGACGCUGAGGCACGAAAGCGUGGGGAGCAAACAGG